CCCCCCGCAGCGUCGGCCGCCUCCGAGAGUGCAGGGCAGUGCUCCGCACGCGAGCCCCUCCAGCAGCCGCCCCUGCGCGCGCUGAGCGCAGAGCCCGGGGCGCGCGUGGCGCCCCCUCCCAGCUGCAGAGCGACGAUGAGCCGCGGCGCGGGGGUCGUGGAGAGCAGUGAUGACCAUCACAAUGCCUCUUCAGAAGAAAAAGGCAUUCACCGACUGCUGGCUUGCAAGCUGGCCUCCCUACACGGAGGGCAGGGAGAGACUGAAGAAGGAGGCAAACCGCUCCAGCUUGGUAGGUGGCAGUUUU
Long non-coding RNA from Ursus americanus (American black bear), 304 nucleotides. The record is from Ensembl. NCBI's taxonomy places the organism in Eukaryota, Metazoa, Chordata, Mammalia, Carnivora, Ursidae.